GCCCCACACCGGGUGAGGGGGUUCCCGCAGGAAGGUAGUAAAGCCGGAUAUUGAUGUUUAAGGUUGAUGGAGUGACGUAAAAGCGGUCCACUCACAAGAUGUCCCGGCCCAGAAUGCCAG
Corvus hawaiiensis (hawaiian crow) is the source of this 120-nucleotide long non-coding RNA. RefSeq lists it as uncharacterized. The transcript is spliced from 3 exons. The record is from RefSeq and is a predicted model, not a curated record. NCBI's taxonomy places the organism in Eukaryota, Metazoa, Chordata, Aves, Passeriformes, Corvidae.